RNAcentral lists this ribosomal RNA (478 nucleotides) under uncultured bacterium. Its description in RNAcentral is "partial 16S ribosomal RNA". It matches the Rfam family "Bacterial small subunit ribosomal RNA", at positions 28 to 523 of the family's 1533-position model. The record is from RNAcentral.
GACGAACGCUGGCGGCGUGCUUAACACAUGCAAGUCGAACGGUAAGGCCCUUCGGGGUACACGAGUGGCGAACGGGUGAGUAACACGUGGGUGAUCUGCCCUGCACUUCGGGAUAAGCCUGGGAAACUGGGUCUAAUACCGGAUAGGGCCACUGCCUGCAUGGGUGGUGGUGGAAAGCUUUUGCGGUGUGGGAUGGGCCCGCGGCCUAUCAGCUUGUUGGUGGGGUGAUGGCCUGCCAAGGCGACGACGGGUAGCCGGCCUGAGAGGGUGACCGGCCACACUGGGACUGAGAUACGGCCCAGACUCCUACGGGAGGCAGCAGUGGGGAAUAUUGCACAAUGGGCGCAAGCCUGAUGCAGCGACGCCGCGUGAGGGAUGACGGCCUUCGGGUUGUAGACCUCUUUCAGCACCGACGAAGCGCAAGUGACGGUAGGUGCAGAAGAAGGACCGGCCAACUACGUGCCAGCCGCCGCCGUAA